This is a long non-coding RNA of Nanorana parkeri, 98 nucleotides long. RefSeq lists it as uncharacterized. NCBI's taxonomy places the organism in Eukaryota, Metazoa, Chordata, Amphibia, Anura, Dicroglossidae. The record is from RefSeq and is a predicted model, not a curated record. The transcript has 3 exons.
CAACUCUACGUUCUCACCAUAGUCAAUAUAGCAUCACUUUGCUGAAGAGGACUGGUGCCUGGAACAAAAUAUACCCCAUUAAACAAACAUACAUUCAU